Molecule: transfer RNA, 73 nt
Filed under: Aspergillus sojae NBRC 4239
Lineage: Eukaryota; Fungi; Ascomycota; Eurotiomycetes; Eurotiales; Aspergillaceae
Description: tRNA-Gly (CCC) (tRNA-Gly-CCC-1-1)
Rfam family: tRNA
About the family: Transfer RNA (tRNA) molecules are approximately 80 nucleotides in length. Their secondary structure includes four short double-helical elements and three loops (D, anti-codon, and T loops).
Source: RNAcentral
GCGGGUGUAGUCUAGUGGUUAUGAUGCGUGCUUCCCAAGCACGAGGUCCGGGGUUCGAACCCCCGUUCCCGCA